RNAcentral lists this ribosomal RNA (630 nucleotides) under uncultured bacterium. Its description in RNAcentral is "bacterial SSU rRNA". The stretch from base 1 to 537 matches the Rfam family "Bacterial small subunit ribosomal RNA", at positions 338 to 873 of the family's 1533-position model. The record is from RNAcentral.
CCUACGGGAGGCAGCAGUGAGGAAUAUUGGUCAAUGGGCGCAAGCCUGAACCAGCCAUGCCGCGUGCAGGAUGAAGCAUCUAUGGUGUGUAAACUGCUUUUGUACGGGAAGAAACACCGAUUCGUGAAUCGGCUUGACGGUACCGUAAGAAUAAGGACCGGCUAACUCCGUGCCAGCAGCCGCGGUAAUACGGAGGGUCCAAGCGUUAUCCGGAAUCAUUGGGUUUAAAGGGUCCGUAGGCGGCCAGGUAAGUCAGUGGUGAAAGCCCAUCGCUCAACGGUGGAACGGCCAUUGAUACUGCCAGGCUUGAAUUUCUGGGAAGUAACUAGAAUAUGUAGUGUAGCGGUGAAAUGCUUAGAUAUUACAUGGAAUACCAAUUGCGAAGGCAGGUUACUACCAGUGGAUUGACGCUGAUGGACGAAAGCGUGGGUAGCGAACAGGAUUAGAUACCCUGGUAGUCCACGCCGUAAACGAUGGAUACUAGCUGUUCGGGGCAACCUGAGUGGCGUAGACGAAGUAGAGUAAGUAGUACCGACCGUCGGGAGGUACGGGCGGCGAGACCGUUGAACGUACGAAGUUAGUAAGUUAGACGGCGUGAGACGNGCCGACGGACGACGACGAGGGAGGAGG